This is a non-coding RNA of Sporosarcina sp. HYO08, 123 nucleotides long. The record is from Rfam. Lineage: Bacteria; Bacillati; Bacillota; Bacilli; Caryophanales; Caryophanaceae.
AGGUGAUGCCUCCUAACCUUUAUCAACGGAGGCACUCGGCUAUGCUGUGGGUGGCGCGUUUUCGCGUUGCCUUAGAUGCGUUUGGUUAUCGGGAGUAUGGUGUGAGGUGGGGUUGGAUGCCCU